UACGAAGGGGGCUAGCGUUGCUCGGAAUUACUGGGCGUAAAGGGCGCGUAGGCGGACAGUUUAGUCAGAGGUGAAAGCCCAGGGCUCAACCUUGGAAUUGCCUUUGAUACUGGCUGUCUUGAGUUCGGGAGAGGUGAGUGGAAUGCCGAGUGUAGAGGUGAAAUUCGUAGAUAUUCGGCGGAACACCAGUGGCGAAGGCGACUACCUGGCCUGUUCUUGACGCUGAGGCGCGAAAGCUAGGGGAGCAAACGGG
Molecule: ribosomal RNA, 253 nt
Filed under: uncultured bacterium
Lineage: Bacteria
Description: partial 16S ribosomal RNA
Rfam family: Bacterial small subunit ribosomal RNA
Source: RNAcentral